GUAGAAGUUUUUUUUGCAGUUGCUGUUUAACGCCGAUCCUGUGCAGCGCUAUUACCAAAGGCUUUCUAGCCGUGACCAUCCCUUCAUUUUCGCAUUAUCUUGGAGGACUACUUUCGCCAUUGUAGACCGCUUCGUUCAGACCGAAAGUGAACAGGCGAUUGUAAAGGACCAAUAUUUAACUCCUCUUCAUUUCAUCGUUCUCAGGAGGCAGAAAAGCUAAGGCAAUAUCGGUGCCCUUCAACUAAGUAAAGAUCACGAAUUUACAUAAGGAUGACAAUCAAGAAAGUGGGAAUGAAAGAAAGAAGUGGAAAAAGCACGAUCUGUGACUUGCACCUUUUAGUUCGGCCCACUCCCUGCAUAAUAUAGGCCUGAUCGAUAAACAGCUGUCCUUGGGGAACAUAACAACAACUCAAAAAUACUAGGUCACGAUUUCAUAUUUUAGAAUAUGUUUUAUUCUUUUUUUACCCUUUAAAAAAGAAUUUUAGAUAUUAAUAAUUCGGAAUGACAAACUAUAAAAUAAUUGAGUCAAAGAAGGAACCUCUACAUGGUCUGCUAGAAAUAGGUAGUUUGUUACUGUUACAUGAUCCAAUAGACAUAACAAGUAUAUAUUCUUUUAACCUGUAAUAUGUUUCAACCCUGAGGUUUUGGCCAUGCUGGGGUACCACCAGUUAGACAUAUAUUUUUUUUAAAAAUCACAUCAUGCCAUCAGAAAAAAUAAAAUACUUUUGGUUAAUUUGAUACCAAAUACGCUCUGUCUCUAUCUAAAUGGGUUAAUCGCGGCUAGAGGGGCGAUGAUGAGGGUUAUAAGAUCGACGCACACAUAAGGCUAAAUAACAAUAAGAACAACAACAGUGACAGCUGAAAGAAAUAUUGAUAAUUUUCCAAAUGCUUAAUCUAAUUGAUAGUUCUGAUAUUCUUUUGUGCCCUAAUUAAUCAAUUUAAUUACAAACAGAGAAAAUAAAAUUACAUGGCGCAGAUAUGGCUGUGUGGUUAAGAAACUAUCUUUGCAAUCACAUGCUUUCAAGCUCAAUCCUUCUGCACCGCACCAUGGAGAAAUGUCCUCCAUUCUAGUCUCGGGCCAACCAGCGCCAUGAGAGUGAAUUUGCUACACGGAAA
Long non-coding RNA from Octopus bimaculoides (California two-spot octopus), 1116 nucleotides. The record is from RefSeq and is a predicted model, not a curated record. NCBI's taxonomy places the organism in Eukaryota, Metazoa, Mollusca, Cephalopoda, Octopoda, Octopodidae.